GACGAACGCUGGCGGCGUGCUUAACACAUGCAAGUCGAACGGACAGGCCCUGCUUUUGUGGGGUGCUCGAGUGGCGAACGGGUGAGUAACACGUGAGUAACCUGCCCUUGACUUUGGGAUAACUUCAGGAAACUGGGGCUAAUACCGGAUAGGAGCUCCUGCUGCAUGGUGGGGGUUGGAAAGUUUCGGCGGUUGGGGCUGGACUCGCGGCUUAUCAGCUUGUUGGUGGGGUAGUGGCUUACCAAGGCUUUGACGGGUAGCCGGCCUGAGAGGGUGACCGGCCACAUUGGGACUGAGAUACGGCCCAGUCUCCUACGGGAGGCAGCAGUGGGGAAUAUUGCACAACGGGCGGAAGCCUGAUGCAGCAACGCCGCGUGCGGGAUGACGGCCUUCGGGUUGUAAACCGCUUUCGCCGGUGACGAAGCGUGAGUGACGGUAAUGGGUAAGGAAGCAACGGCUAACUACGUG
This 468-nucleotide ribosomal RNA is filed under the name uncultured bacterium. RNAcentral describes it as "partial 16S ribosomal RNA". It matches the Rfam family "Bacterial small subunit ribosomal RNA", at positions 28 to 507 of the family's 1533-position model. The record is from RNAcentral.